GCAGCUGGUAGCGGAGUGGUCGGAGUUGCCGCUGCCUUUGGACCCGAAGGUUGCAGGGCCCUGUUAUAUACCCUGUGAUCGACCGGUGUCCCAUCCAGCACGUACCCCACAUAGCCCCGGACAAGCGGUUAAGGAAAGCUUGUGAGCAAGUGAGGGGGGACUCCAUAAUGGUCGCAGCAAGCCGCAGCCUAACCCGGCAGCACAGGGCACAAGGCCGGAGGGGGAGGGGACACACCCAAGACAGGGCACCAGUCUGUCACAAGGCACCCCAAGCAGGAUUCGAACUCCAGACCCACCGGAGAACAGGACCCGGCCAAACCCGCUGCACCACCGCGCCCUUGUAGGAAGUGGCUCUUGAAUAAAUCACUGGGUAGGUGCCUUGAUCAGGGGUACUACAGGAGGAGGUGGGAUUUGGCCCUGGGUCCUUCGAGUACAAGACAGCAGCUCUAACUUCUGCUCUCCCGCUGACCUUCAACAGUUAAAGUGUGUCCACCCCAGACCCC
Molecule: long non-coding RNA, 503 nt
Filed under: Scleropages formosus (Asian bonytongue)
Lineage: Eukaryota; Metazoa; Chordata; Actinopteri; Osteoglossiformes; Osteoglossidae
Description: lncRNA (ENSSFOG00015026042.1)
Source: RNAcentral